GGGGUCGUGGUGUAGCAUGGUCCAGCAUACCAGAGUGAAUUUUUCACGGUGAGCCUGGGGCGCUGGCGAUCCGGGGUUCAAAUCCCCGCGACCCCACCA
Molecule: transfer RNA, 99 nt
Filed under: Candidatus Bathyarchaeota archaeon BA1
Lineage: Archaea; Thermoproteati; Candidatus Bathyarchaeota
Description: tRNA-Phe
Rfam family: tRNA
About the family: Transfer RNA (tRNA) molecules are approximately 80 nucleotides in length. Their secondary structure includes four short double-helical elements and three loops (D, anti-codon, and T loops). Further hydrogen bonds mediate the characteristic L-shaped molecular structure. tRNAs have two regions of fundamental functional importance: the anti-codon, which is responsible for specific mRNA codon recognition, and the 3' end, to which the tRNAs corresponding amino acid is attached (by aminoacyl-tRNA synthetases). tRNAs cope with the degeneracy of the genetic code in two manners: having more than one tRNA (with a specific anti-codon) for a particular amino acid; and 'wobble' base-pairing, i.e. permitting non-standard base-pairing at the 3rd anti-codon position.
Source: RNAcentral